Molecule: long non-coding RNA, 2340 nt
Organism: Phlebotomus papatasi
Lineage: Eukaryota; Metazoa; Arthropoda; Insecta; Diptera; Psychodidae
Exons: 2
Source: RefSeq, a predicted model, not a curated record
UAUUUUUAUAGGAAAUUUAUUCCUCUACAACUUUGUCGAAGAUAGUUUUUCUCUAUCUUAACGAGAAAUGUGCUUAAAUUGAGCUAAUCAGUAUUGAUGUUUUCUGUAAGCCAAAUAUACCAAAAAUAGGGCUCAGAAUUUCAUUAUUUUUUAUUUUACAUCCUUCUUCGAAUCCCUUGAAACUUUGUAAGUUUAGGAAGGUUCAUGAAGGCUAUCUAUAAUAAAAAUUUGAAGCCUCAGUCCCUUUUAUUUUUAGAAAAUAGUGAGUAUUGAAAUUUUCGUUUUGACAAAUUUUGCCCCAGUCUCCCCUACUUAUAAUAAUUAAUAGGAAAAUAUUUAGUCACAUAAGGUACUAUACUCCCUUCUUUCCCGAAAAAAGUCGUGCGAUUGCUACAUUUUUUAUGACAAAAUGUACGACUUUUUAGGAACAGAGGGAGUAUUAAAAUCUUCAUAACUUGCUGUUACGUACUUUUUGAAGUUAUGUCCUGAACAGAAAAGAGUGGAGAAUUUCAAGCAUGCAUGACUUUAAAAAAAAAAAAAAAACAAUAAUAAAUCACCUGUUGUAUCUGCCGUUGUCGUAUCUGUAUUUGGUAGAAACUAGAUUCAAACGUCGCUUCUUAAAUCAAAUGCUGACACAAAAGAAAAGCAGAUACGACAAUAGUUAAAGCAAACGACGAUAUGGAAAAUGUACUCGUACUAUAUAUCAGGCAAUACCGAUAAAUAUUACCAAAACACGGGAUCUAGAAUUCAGUCUAGAAGAAGUUUGGCCAAAUUCCAGAAUAUUUCUAAAUAUUAAAUGUUUGUUUGUUUAUUGGUACUUUCUGUAUUGGGCAUUAAGCCUCUAUUACAACCAAGUUAAAUUAUAAACAAUUUUAAUGGUUAUUGCAGAUUUAAUGGAUUCAAUUACCAGUCAAAAUUAUCCAAAACUUUCGCCAAAUUAGAAAUUCAAGUAGGGGAAAGUGCCCAUGCUUUAUACCAUUGGAAGCUUCGUAAUAACUAAAUUUUUCCUAUGUUUCUCAAUUAACGUGACUCCGCAAUUUAUUUUAAAAACUGGCCAAUUUCCCAUAGUUUUUAAAAUAUGAUUGCGAUGAGUCACAUAUAUGUUAUAUUACAUAGAAAAUUUAGCCAUUACGAAGCUUCCAAUGGUAUCAAGCAUGGGCACUUUCCCCUAGUAAAAUCUAAAAUAUUUGAAACCAGUUUUAUUUACUCAAUCUUUACUUGUUUUAAAAAUAUAGUUUUUUUUUCAAAAGAAUUUUAAUUCUUUUUUCCAAUUUUAGAACUACUUAAAGAAAAUAAUAGUAUAGCAUAAAAUUCAAAUAAAUUAGCAAUAGUGGUCUAAUGAUGAAAAUAAAAAAUUUGCAAUCUUAAUAUCUUAAGAUACGAGCGACUUAUCUGUUCAUUACUGAUACCACUGAUACGAUAAUUUCAUACUGUAAUGAUAGAUGCAAUAUGCAAAACAUACAGCUCAACGGUCAUAAUUUACAGCUUUUCUUUCUCAAAUUAAAACGCUUAUUAGGAUACUUUUGAUAUUUAAAUUUAAAAGUAUAAUACUAAGGGUUUAAUUUUAAUUGAUAGAAAUAUUUCUUUAGACUAAAUUUUCUUUUCUUAAAAAUGCAGUCAAAAUAUUCUUAUUUGCGUCUUUGAAUGUGCUAACCUUUUAAUAUUUCAAUAUUUCUUUUAUUUCUCAAAGCAAAAAUUCUAUUCUAUAAACUGUACUAUUAACUAUUUUUAUUAUUAACUUUGCUUCGAUUAAUCAAAGAAAAUUUUUGUUUAAAGAAUAAGAGAAGAAUUGAAGUAUCCAAAGCUCGUACAUUUAAAGGUAGAUCACUCUUUCCUAUACGAAACUCGCUGAAAUAAUUGAAAAUAUAAACUAAUUUUUGAAAUGCUAAACCAGAAAUUGAAUUUAAAUAAAAUCCGUGAUAUUAUGUUGUGUUUUUACAGUUUGUAGCUGUUUUUGCUGCCCUCGUGGCUAUCUCAGUUGCUGUCCCUAGGCCUGAUAACUAUGGAGCAUCCGGUGGUAUCCAUGGUGGUGGUCAUGGUGGAGUUCAUGGUGGUGGUAGCCAUGGUCUUCGUGCACCAGUAGUACGGCAUGAACAUGGAGGAGUUCAUGCACCUGCGGAAUCCCGACAAUUAGGACAUGGUGGAAGGCGCAGUGCUCAUGGAGGUGGACAUGAUGGACAUGGUGGACAUGGUGGACACGGUGGAUAUGACAGAGGACACAACACGCGUUACUAAACCUCAAACAGCAAUCUCUACAACAGCCAGUCUAGAAGAGAAUCUUCUAUGUUCUUUGCAAAAAAAGGUCGCACUUACAACAAAAAAAAAAAACAAACAAAACAA